RNAcentral lists this ribosomal RNA (253 nucleotides) under uncultured bacterium. RNAcentral describes it as "partial 16S ribosomal RNA". It matches the Rfam family "Bacterial small subunit ribosomal RNA", at positions 524 to 776 of the family's 1533-position model. The record is from RNAcentral.
UACGUAUGGUGCAAGCGUUGUCCGGAUUUACUGGGCGUAAAGGGAGCGCAGGCGGCGCGCCAAGUCUGAUGUGAAACCCCGGGGCUCAACCCCGGGCAUGCAUUGGAAACUGGCGGGCUGGAGUGCCGGAGAGGUAAGCGGAAUUCCUAGUGUAGCGGUGAAAUGCGUCGAUAUUAGGAGGAACACCAGUGGCGAAGGCGGCUUACUGGACGGCAACUGACGCUGAGGCUCGAAAGCGUGGGGAGCAAACAGG